GAACGAACGAGGGAAAUGGGGUAGUGUUCAAAACCAAUUGCUAGCACCUAAGGACCCACCAUCCACACCACAAAACACCACACAAGAUGUUCAACUUUAUGAAGAAGAGCGCCGGCGACGACGACAAGGAGCGUCGCAAGCGCGAGAAGAAGCUGCGCAAAGAGGCUAAGGGCACCGGCUUCGGCUCCGGCACCGGAAUCGGAAUCGGAGGCGUUGGCGGCGUCACCGGGAGCAUGAGCACCGACGAGCUGCUCCGUCUGGACGAGGUGCGUCGCUCGCUGAAGAUCCGCGGCCGGCGCAAGGAGAAGGAGAAGCUACCGAGUGGCAUCACGGCGGACUACAGUGCCGAUUUCUUUGCCGCCCUGGCGAAUGCCGACUCUAGUGGCAACGGCAGCAAUGGAGGAACUUCGACUGGUGGCCCCGAACAGGAUCGUGGCAAUGAGGAGAUUGUAGCAUCUGUGAUGACCCACAUCGAGAGCCGUUCGUCCAACGGCGCCGGCGUGAGUGUCAACUACAGCGAGGUCACACAUUCCCUGCUGGCCGGCGGCGCCAAGAAUCGCUUUCUGCCGCCUGUGCCGCCAAAACCGCCAAAGCGCGGAAUUCUGAAAGGAUCCCGUAGUAACAUGACCAAUGUACACGAGGAAAUUACCUUUACAGGUGGAGGCGGAACCCCGGAGAUGCUCGUGCGCAAUACCAUGCAGAAUGAACUGCUGGCAGCUGGCUCCAUUGGCUCCAACUCGAGCCAGCACGGCACCUCCUUCACCUCCGUGGAGAGCCUCCGUAGCGACGGCGAGCAGCCGGGCGUCCACCAACGGGCCAUGACCCUGCCGGCAAACGCCCGCUACGGAGCUGCUCCUCAAGCCAACAGCCAUCUGCAUGUGCUCACCUCGCCAUCACCCAGCGCCGAUAGUCUCACAGAUACCACAAACUCCUCGUUCGCCACGCCACCCUUCUCCCUGAGUCCAGUCGGCGAGUCACAGGGCAUCGAUCGCUGGGCCCGCGUUCAUGCCUUCGAGGAUGUGGAGCUGCCGCUGCCGCCAGUGCAACUGGUGCAGCUGCCACCGCCCAGGCAGCUGGUCAUCCGGCGCCAGAAGUCGCCGAGACAAGAUUUCGGGUUUAGUCUGCGAAAGGCCAUAUGCUUGGAUAGAACCGAGUCCCUGAUGUCGCCCAUCUUUAGGCCGGUGAUUUUCGCCGAGCCAGGUGCUGGAGGUGGUGCUACCGGGCUGCUGCCCGGCGACCGCCUCAUCAAGGUGAACGGCACUUCAGUGGGGGAGUUGUCGCGUGAAAUCAUCAUAGAAAUGAUACGAAACAGCGGUGAUGCCGUCACAGUAGAGGUCCAACCCGUGGCCGAGCUGGUGGAGCUGAGCAAGCGCUGUAUGGCACCCAGUACAGCCACCGUGGAGGAGAUCGAUCAUUCCAUUACCAAUGGCAACUGCAACACCCUCCGGCGCAGUGCCAGCAAGCGUUUCAAGCGACAGAGCCGCCAUGAGAACGGCAACGGAGGAGCUGGCGAGGGCGGCGCCGGAGGAGUGGCUCAUGAUCUGGAGGCGGACGUGGCUGAUGGCAGCCAGCCGGAGCGUGUAUGGCUGGUGCAUCGCGGCGGCUUCACUGCCGCCAUUCGCCUGCCGACGGCAGCAUCUGGCCGGGAUGAGGAACAGCACAAGGUGAGCCUCCGCCUGAUGCACAAUGGGGAACAGCUGACCGUCGACGAGGACGAUGUGGAGAAGCAGAACAGCCCGACCCUGGACCUGGCCGAGGACAUCUGUGAGCUGAAGUAUCUGAACGAGGCGUCGGUGCUGCACUGCCUCCGUCAGCGAUACGCCAGCAAUCUCAUCCACACCAAGGCGGGGCCCACGCUCCUCGUGGUCAACCCGAUGGCCCCGCUAUCCCUCUACUCCGAAAAGGUUGUCUCCAUGUUCCGCGGCUGCAAGACGGAGGACAUGCCGCCCCACGUCUACUCACUGGCCCAGACCGCCUACAGGAGUUUGGUUGAGACGCGGCGCGACCAGAGCUUGAUAUUCAUGGGCCGGUCUGGCUCUGGCAAAUCCACCAGUUUCAAGCAUGCUCUCAACUACCUGGCGUUGGCAGCUGGAGCCUACAAUAACUUCAUCAAUGCUGAGAAGGUCAAUGCCCUCUGUACCAUUCUGGAGGCCUUUGGCAACACAAAAACUUGUCUCAACUCCAACGCCACUCGGAUGACGCAACUGCUCAGCCUGGACUUCGACCAGACUGGCCAAAUUGCAUCCGCCUCCCUGCAGGUUCUUCUGCCAGAACGACAGCGAGCUGGCCGGCGUUUGGCUCAUGAACAUAGUUUCCACAUCAUGACGCGACUCUUGGCGGGAGCAGCUGGAUUGUUGCAGAAGGAGCUGCACCUGGAAAACAUCUCCUCGGAGGACAGUCAUCCAUUCAUUUCACUCUCACAGAAGCUGGAGGAUCGCCACAGAGCCGCCAAUGAUUUUAUGCGCACUGUGGCAGCCUUCGAGACGCUCAACAUUGAUGCCAAGGCAGUGCGCGGAAUCUGGAGCAUUCUGGCAGCCAUUUACCACCUCGGCAUCGCGGGAGUCACAAAGCUGGGAGUGGGCUCCACGGCGCGCACUCAGUUCGCCAAUCCCACCGCUGCCCGCAAGGCGGCCGGGCUGUUGGGCGUUAAUCUGGAGGAUCUGUCGUCGGCCGCCUUUGGUCUGACACAGCCGAAUGCGCCCAACGGCGGCCUGAGUCCCUCCAAGUCGCCCACCUCCGACACCGGACACGAGUGGGCAUGGGAGUGCCUGGAGGCGUUGGUCAUUGGCCUGUACUCGGAGGCCUUGGCGGCAGUUGUCGCCUUGAUUAAUCGACAGAUCUGCACCUCGGCCCACACCAUAGCCUCGAUCAUGCUAAUAGAUACGCCUGGCUUCCAGAACCCAGCUAGUUGUGGCCAGCAGGUGGGCGCAACUCUGGCCGAUUUGCGUCACAACUAUUUGCAGGAGCGCCUACAGAUGCUCUUCCAUCACACCACCCUGGUGGCGCCGCGCGACCGCUACGCCCAGGAGCUGGUAGAGAUCGAGAUGGACCAUGCCUCGGAGUGUCAUCCGGGACCGCUAAUAUCGCUGAUUGACAAGGCGCCCCAGAACCAUGUGGUGCGUUCCUCUCAGCGAGACUUACGUGAGCACGAUCGCCGGGGAAUGCUAUGGCUCCUUGAUGAGGAAGCAAUCUACCCCAACUCCAACGACGACACAUUCCUUGAACGUCUGUUCUCGCACUACGGGGAUCGGGAGCAUCAUACGCUGCUGCGCAAGUGCGCCGGUCCCCGCCAGUUUGUGCUCCACCAUCUGCAGGGCACCAAUCCCGUACUCUAUGCCGUGGAUGGCUGGGUGAGGAACAGUCGCGAGCAUCCUGGCAUAAGGAAUGCGGUUUCCCUGCUGCAGGACAGCAGCCGGGAGGAGAUCAACCGCCUCUACAUUGGCUCUCUGACUCGUGGCUCGGGUGCCAUGGUGUUCUGCGGCUCUUUUGCCGGCCUGGAGGGCACCCAAUCCCUGCGCCGUGUCUCCAGCAUUCGCAGAUCCUUCACCACAGCCGGCGUGAAGCGGAAUUCGAUCAUGUUGCAGGUGAAGUUCACGGUGGAUGGAAUCAUUGACACGCUGCGCCGCACCGGCACCCACUUUGUCCACUGCUAUCUGUUGCAACACAAUGCCGGGAAGCAUGCCAAGUUCACGGCCAACGGAUCUCCCAGCUCGGCGGCGGGCCAGGCCUCUAGCGAGGAGGAAAUGGUCAAUGUGCCACUAUUAAGGAGUCAGCUACGUGGCUCGCAAGUCGUGGAGGCUGCUCGACUGCAUCGCCUGGGCUUCCCAGAAUCAGUUCCCCUUCUGGAGUUUGUGCGUCGGUUUGGCCUAUUGGCCGGAGACUUGGCCAGCAACAAGGAUGUGAGCGUGGAGCAGAUACUCUCAGUCAAUGAGUUGGACGUGGCCAGUUACCGCAUUGGACCUAGUCAGAUCCUCUUCCGUUCUGGAGUUCUCAGCGAACUGGAAGCCAAGCGCGAUGUCCUGCUCUCAGAUCGCAUCAUUCAGCUGCAGGCCUUCUGCCGAGGGUAUCUGGCCCGGAAAAAGAUGUCCCAGCGUCGGGUGCAGGAACUGGCCGUUCGCUGCAUCCAGCGGAAUGUGAAGGCCUUCCUGGCCGUCCGUGACUGGCCCUGGUGGCGCCUCCUGGUCCGAGUCACGCCCCUCCUCAACGUCCACCGCACCGAGGAGCAACUGAAGACCGCCAACGAGGAGCUCCUCAUGCUGCGCGCCAAACUGGAGAAGAUCGAAUGCGAUCGCAGCGAGGUCAAGGCGGAGAACCAAAAGUUGGAAGCCAAGCUAUCCGAACUGACGGUGGACCUGGCCGAGGAGCGCUCCACAGCCCACAUCGCCACCGAGCGGCUGGAGGCGGAGACCGCCGAACGCCUCAAGCUGGAGAAGGAGCUGGGCGAUCAGGCCAACAAGGUGAAGAACCUCCAGGAGACCACCGAGAAGCUGGAAAUGGAACUCAUAUGCGCCAAGUCCGAUCUGAAUGGCAUCUCCGAGGACGAGGAUGCGGAGAACGAGGACGGCGGCGUGGGUGGCGGUGUCUACAAGCUCAAGUACGAGCGGGUGGCCCGGGAGCUGGAGUUCACCAAACGGCGUCUGCAUACGCAGCACGAGCACGAUCUGGAACAGCUGGUCGGGCUUAAGAAGCAAUUGGAGAAGAAGCUUUCCGAUGCCUACGAAGAAGUUGAGGAGCAACGUCAAGUUGUGGGCCAAUGGAAGCGCAAGGCUCAGAAGAUGACCAACGAGAUGAACGAUCUGCGCAUGCUGCUCGAGGAGCAAAAUGCCCGAAACAAUUUGCUCGAGAAGAAGCAGCGCAAGUUCGAUGCCGAGUGCCAGUCCCUGCAGGAUGCGGCUCGCCAGGAGCGUCAGGCCAAGGAGCGCUACGGCCGCGAGAAGGAUGUCCUGCAGGCCGAGAAGUUUACGCUGGAGCAGACCCUAGCGGACACCCGCUUGGAUCUGGACCUGAAGGAAGAGAAGCUAGCUUCGCUGCAGCGCGAACUGGAAGAGAUGACCUUUGGGGGCGGAACCGAAGAAGAGUUCGCCCAGCUGCGGCGCUCUAAAAACGAAACAGAACGCCGGGCCAAGGAGCAGGAGGAGGAACUGGACGAGAUGGCAGGCCAGAUACAGCUGCUGGAGCAGGCCAAACUCCGUCUGGAGAUGACACUGGAGACCAUGCGCAAAGAGGCACGCCGCGAGUCCCAGCAGCGUGAUGAGGAGCUGGAAGAAGUUCGCGGCAAUGGCUACAAAAAGAUCAAGGCCCUGGAGUGCCAACUGGAGACAGAGCAUGAGGAGCGAACCCUGCUCCUCCGUGAGAAGCACGAGCUGGAGCGACGCCUGUCCUCUAUGGAGGAUCGUGAUCGCGUGGACCGCGACGCUGAGGAGGCAAUGAACCAGAAGCUGCGCCGUGAUCUCCGCAAAUACAAGGCUCUGCUCAAGGACGCUCAGACCCAGCUGGAGCGCCUCAAGGCGGACACGCCAGGCAAGACGCUUAUUCGCCAGCUGCGGAAUCAACUGGAAGACGCAGAGUCCGCUCGAUCUCUGGCCAUGAAGGCGCGUCAAACAGCCGAAGCGGAACUCACCGAAGUCCAGGCCAUGUUCGAGGAGUCACAUCGCGCCCGAAACGAUGCCGAGGAGCGAGCCAAUGCGGCGCACAGGGAUCGCGCCGAGCUCCAGGCUCAAAUCGAGGAGAACGAGGAGGAGCUCAGCGAACUGAUGAAGAAGUACAGUGCCACAGUGAAGCAAUUGAACACCGAGCAGAUAAAUGUAUCCGAAGCGGAGUUCAAGCUCAACGAAAUGGAGGCUGAACGAAACAAUCUCAAAGAGCAGGUGGCCGAGCUACAGCACCGCUUGGACAAUGUCGAAAAUAUGGGCGAUCCAUCCAUGGCCAUGAUGUCGAAGAGAUUGGAGCUUCGCACCAAGGAACUGGAAUCCCGGCUGGAGCUGGAGCAGGCCACUCGGGCGCGUCUGGAAGUGCAGGUGACCCGUCACAAGGAGGCCCUGGAGAAGCUGCAGAACGAGGUGACGCAGUCGAAGAUGCGCGAAAUGCAGGCCCAGGACGUGCUCAAGAAGUCGCAAAAGAGUCUCCGCGAUAUGCGUGAGGAGUACCACACGGUGUCCAGUCGCGAGCAGGAGUCCCUGACGCGGCGCAAGGACCUCGAAAAGAAGAUGGAGCAAAUGGAAUCGGAGGGAGCGGCCCUGAAGAACGACCUCCGGCUGGCACUUCAGCGGAUAGCCGAUCUGCAACAGGCCAUGGAGGAGGAGGGCGAAGAGGAACUUAGCGAGAGUGACGAGAGCAUCAGUUCCGUGGGCUCCAUCAGCGACCUCGAGGAGCGCUUGCGACCCGUGCACGUGAAACGCAGUUCGCAACAGUCGCUGAAUGGAAGCAUCGGUGGUGGCGGAGGCGGCGGCGGCACUGUUGUCAGCACCACUCGCACCGUGGUCUAUGAAAAGGACGACAACAGCCCUAGGUACGCUGAUAACGAAGUCAACUCGAACAGCAGACAGCAGCACAAGCAUUAAGGCCCAAGCACCAUCCAAACAUUAUCCGCCUCUUAAUAUGCCUAUCGCUAGUUAGCUAGUCUGUAAGCUUUUUCUUAUUGUAGAAUAACAGUGACGUCGCCAUCGUCGCCGCACAUUCAUAAGCUGGCACUGGCGGCCAAAGCCAUACCGGAC
RNAcentral lists this unclassified non-coding RNA (6713 nucleotides) under Drosophila ananassae. Its description in RNAcentral is "GF18854". Lineage: Eukaryota; Metazoa; Arthropoda; Insecta; Diptera; Drosophilidae. The record is from RNAcentral.